CGGACGGGUGAGUAACGCGUGAGAAUCUAGCUCUAGGUCGGGGACAACCACUGGAAACGGUGGCUAAUACCGGAUGAGCCGAAAGGUAAAAGAUUAAUUGCCUAGAGAUGAGCUCGCGUCUGAUUAGCUAGUUGGUGUGGUAAGAGCGCACCAAGGCGACGAUCAGUAGCUGGUCUGAGAGGAUGAUCAGCCACACUGGGACUGAGACACGGCCCAGACUCCUACGGGAGGCAGCAGUGGGGAAUUUUCCGCAAUGGGCGAAAGCCUGACGGAGCAAUACCGCGUGAGGGAGGAAGGCUCUUGGGUUGUAAACCUCUUUUCUCAAGGAAUAAGAAAGUGAAGGUACUUGAGGAAUAAGCAUCGGCUAACUCCGUGCCAGCAGCCGCGGUAAUACGGAGGAUGCAAGCGUUAUCCGGAAUGAUUGGGCGUAAAGGGUCCGCAGGUGGCCCUGUAAGUCUGCUGUUAAAGAGUGAGGCUUAACCUCAUAAAAGCAGUGGAAACUACAGAGCUAGAGUGCGUUCGGGGUAGCAGGAAUUCCUGGUGUAGCGGUGAAAUGCGUAGAGAUCAGGAAGAACACCGGUGGCGAAAGCGUGCUACUAGGCCGUAACUGACACUGAGGGACGAAAGCUAGGGGAGCGAAUGGGAUUAGAUACCCCAGUAGUCCUAGCCGUAAACGAUGGAUACUAGGCGUGGCUUGUAUCGACCCGAGCCGUGCCGGAGCUAACGCGUUAAGUAUCCCGCCUGGGGAGUACGCACGCAAGUGUGAAACUCAAAGGAAUUGACGGGGGCCCGCACAAGCGGUGGAGUAUGUGGUUUAAUUCGAUGCAACGCGAAGAACCUUACCGAGACUUGACAUGCCCCUGAAUCCUUCUGAAAGGGAGGGAGUGCCUUAAUGACUCGCGAACACCGGUGGGUGCAUGGCCUGU
Molecule: ribosomal RNA, 926 nt
Filed under: Nostoc sp. MBDU013
Lineage: Bacteria; Bacillati; Cyanobacteriota; Cyanophyceae; Nostocales; Nostocaceae
Description: bacterial SSU rRNA
Rfam family: Bacterial small subunit ribosomal RNA
Source: RNAcentral